AUUCCUCUACUGAUUUUUGUGGGAACCGAGGGACGAAGAAAGCUAAGUUGGGUCUGUUUAUGGAUUGCAGUGGAAGCGCUCAAGGCAAAGAUCGAAAAAAAACGAAUCAAACUUGCUGAGACGUGAUCCCGCUUUUCAGAUUCGUCUGAAAUAGCGCCUAUGACGUUAUGCUUCCUAGAAAAGCUCGUACACCAUUUUUCAUUUGAAAAAAAACACAAAAGUCACCUGUACCUGAAACCGACACAGGUAGGUUGGUAGAGAAUACCAAGGGGCGCGAGAGAACUCUCUCUAAGGAACUCGGCAAACUAGCCCCGUAACUUCGGAAGAAGGGGUGCCCCCUCACAGGGGGGUCGCAGUGAAAAGAUUCAUGGAACUGUUUAUCAAAAACACAGGUCUCCGCAAAGUCGUAAGACAAUAUAUGGGGGCUGACGCCUGCCCAGUGCCGGAAGGUCAAGGAAGUUGGUUAGAAACCUCGGUUUUGAAGCUGACGACCGAAGCCCCGGUGAACGGCGGCCGUAACUAUGACGGUCCUAAGGUAGCGAAAUUCAUUGUCGAGUAAGUUUCGACCUGCACGAAAGGCGUAAUCAUAUGAAUGCUGUCUCGGAGAGAGACUCGGUGAAAUAGACUUGUCCGUGAAGAUGCGGACUACUAAUACCCGGACAGAAAGACCCUAUGAAGCUUGACUGUAUCUUGGAAUUGGGUUCGGGCUUUUCUUGCGCAGACUAGGUGGGAGGCUAUGAAGAUUUUCUUCUGGGAAAGUUGGAGCCAACAGUGAGAGACCACUCUGGAAAGGCUAGAAUCCUAAUGGUGAUCCUUGAAUCAGGACACUUGACAGUUUCAGGUGGGCAGUUUUUCUGGGGCGGAAGCCUCAUAAAAGGUAACUGAGGCGCGCAAAGGUCCCCUCAGUCUGGACGGAAAUCAGACAUUGAGUGUAAAGGCAAAAGGGGGCUUGACUGCAAGACCCACAAGUCGAGCAGGGGCGAAAGCUGGCCUUAGUGAUCCGACGGUGCCGUGUGGAAGGGCCGUCGCUCAACGAAUAAAAGUUACUCUAGGAUAACAGGCUGAUCUUCUCCAAGAGUUCACAUCGACGAGAAGGUUUGGCACCUCGAUGUCGGCUCAUCACAUCCUGGGGCUGUAGUAGGUCCCAAGGGUUGGGCUGUUCGCCCAUGAAAGUGGUACGUGAGCUGGGUUCAGAACGUCGUAAGACAGUUCGGUCCAUAUCCAGUAUUAGCGUUAGAAUAUUGAGGUCAAUCACUCAUAGUACGAGAGGACCUGUAGUGAACAUGCCAAUGGUGUACCUGUUAUUUUUCCAAAAGUAAACGCAGGGUAGCUAUGCAUGGAGUGAAUAAGUACUGAAUGCAUCUAAGUACGAAGUCCAGACCAAGAUGAGUAUUCUCUAUAAAGCCGCAGCAAGACAAGCUGUUUUGAUAGGUAUCAAGUGAAAGAUCAGUAAUGGUUUCAGCUGAGAUAUACUAAAGGCGAAUUGAUUUU
RNAcentral lists this ribosomal RNA (1491 nucleotides) under metagenome. Its description in RNAcentral is "bacterial LSU rRNA". It matches the Rfam family "Bacterial large subunit ribosomal RNA", at positions 1435 to 2925 of the family's 2925-position model. The record is from RNAcentral.